RNAcentral lists this ribosomal RNA (2044 nucleotides) under human gut metagenome. Its description in RNAcentral is "bacterial LSU rRNA". It matches the Rfam family "Bacterial large subunit ribosomal RNA", at positions 508 to 2573 of the family's 2925-position model. The record is from RNAcentral.
GGAAAGGUGAAAAGAACCCCGAACAGGGGAGUGAAAUAGAACCUGAAACCAUACGCUUACAACCGGUCGGAGCAGCUUCGUGCUGUGACGGCGUGCCUAUUGAAUAAUGAGCCUACGAGUUACUAAUCACUAGCGAGGUUAAGUGCAAGGAUGCACGGAGCCGAAGCGAAAGCGAGUCUGAACAGGGCGUUUAGUUAGUGGUUGUAGACGCGAAACCUUGCGAUCUACCCUUGAGCAGGUUGAAGGUUGGGUAAAACCAACUGGAGGACCGAACGAAUAAGCGUUGAAAAGCUUCUCGAUGACUUGAGGGUAGGGGUGAAAGGCUAAUCAAGCUGGGAAAUAGCUCGUACUCCCCGAAAUGCCUUUUGGGGCAGCGUUGUAAUAAAGAGUCUACUGGAGGUAGAGCUACUGAUUGGAUGCGGGGGCUUCACCGCCUACCAAAUCCUGACAAACUCCGAAUGCCAGUAGUAUGAUUUACAGCAGUGAGUGACUGGGUGCUAAUGUCCAGUCGCAAAAGAGGAACAACUCAGACCAGCAACUAAGGUCCCGAAGAAUAUGCUAAGUUGAUCUAACGAUGUUUUGCUGCAGAGACAGCUAGGAUGUUAGCUUGGAAGCAGCUAUUCAUUCAAAGAGUGCGUAACAGCUCACUAGUCGAGCGGCAAAGCGUGGAUAAUAAACGGGCAUCAAGUAUACCACCGAAGUUCUGGGCACGAAAGUGCGGUAGGGGAGCAUUCCAUUCAGCGUCGAAGCAGUUUCGUGAGGAAUUGUGGAGCGUAUGGAAAAGCAAAUGUAGGCAUGAGUAACGAUAAUGCGGGAGAGUAACCCGCACACCGCAAGACCAAGGUUUCCUGAUCAACGCUAAUCGGAUCAGGGUUAGUCGGGUCCUAAGGGUAAGCCGAACGGCGAUCUCGAUGGAUAAUCGGUUAAUAUUCCGAUACUAACAUAUACCUCGAUGGAGAGACGAAGGAACGUAAGUGCCGCCACCUGACGGAAUAGGUGGUUAAAGGGCUUAGGUAUAGGGACAGAUUAAGAGUUAGUCCUUGCUGAAACCUGACAGUACAGAGAGCCUACGGGCAAUUUGAUAGAGCACCCAAGUCGACUUCCGAGAAAAUCUUCUAAGUUAUAGUAUAUGUUACCCGUACCGUAAACCGACACAGGUGGUCGAGGAGAGUAUCCUAAGGUGCUCGAGUGAAUCACGGUUAAGGAACUAGGCAAAUUAACCCCGUAACUUCGGGAAAAGGGGUCCCUAUGAAAGUAGGGCGCAGCGAAGAGGUCCAGGCGACUGUUUAUCAAAAACACAGGGCUCUGCAAAUUCGAAAGAAGACGUAUAGGGCCUGACACCUGCCCGGUGCUGGAAGGUUAAGAGGGGAUGUCAUCGCAAGAGAAGCAUUGAAUCGAAGCCCCAGUAAACGGCGGCCGUAACUAUAACGGUCCUAAGGUAGCGAAAUUCCUUGUCGGGUAAGUUCCGACCUGCACGAAUGGUGUAACGAUCUGGGUACUGUCUCAACCAUGAGCUCGGUGAAAUUGUAGUUCCGGUGAAGAUGCCGGAUACCCGCAACGGGACGGAAAGACCCCGUGAACCUUUACUGCAGCUUUGCAUUGAUUUUGGGUAACAGAUGUGUAGGAUAGGUCGGAGGCUUUGAUGCUGCGUCGUCAGGCGUAGAGUAGCCGUCGUUGAAAUACGACCCUUUUGUUAUCUGAGGUCUAAUCCCGUUAGGGAGACAUUGCAUGGUGGGUAGUUUGACUGGGGUGGUCGCCUCCAAAAGUGUAACGGAGGCUUCUCAAGGUACCCUCAAGGCGUUUGGUAAUCGUCUGCAGAGUGCAAUGGCAUAAGGGUGCUUGACUGUGAGACCGACACGUCGAUCAGGUUGGAAACAAGAGCAUAGUGAUCCGGUGGUUCCGCAUGGAAGGGCCAUCGCUCAAAGGAUAAAAGGUACUCCGGGGAUAACAGGCUGAUCGCUCCCAAGAGCUCAUAUCGACGGAGCGGUUUGGCACCUCGAUGUCGGCUCGUCACAUCCUGGGGCUGGAGAAGGUCCCAAGGGUU